ACUCUUCUUCGUUCUCAUCGCCGCAAGCUUACCCCAGCUCUCCUUCUAAACUUGUACUCCUUUUGCUUGGGGAAUUCUCAUCAGUACUACAUAUGUGAAACUCCAUGCUAUUGCUUCUACGUGACGGCGACAAUUUCCGUUGGGGUUUGCUUCUCUAUGAAUUCUUCUGGAGCAAGCCAAGUCUUCUUCACAAUUCAUGGCUACCGAGUACAAGUUGAGACUAUUAACUAGCGUGAGGGAGUCCGAUUAUAUAUGAAUUGCAUUGAAUCAUCGAGGUUUUGGGAACUCUGUUUGCGCGAGCUUGCCAGGCUUUUGCUUCGAUUGGUGCUAGCCUUAGUGAGAAUCUUGACUGGCGAGAAGUGGUGAUUAUCAAAGAUCGUUAAGCCCGUUGAGAGUAAGACCCUCAAAUAAGAGUCUUAAACUCUUAAAUGAAAGACACAAAGACACAUGUAUUUAAGCAAAAGUGUGUGUUCGAAAUCUUAUUUCAUGGAUUUAAGGCAGAGAGAGGGUUAAAUAUUUAAGCUAAAUAAACGAAUAUAUGAAUACACAGCCUGAAAGUUUAGGCAUGAGUGAGAUAUUUUGGAUUUGCGAUUGUAACAUCAAAUAACCGAAUUUGAAGGUGUUAUGACGAA
Molecule: RNA transcript, 632 nt
Organism: Capsella rubella
Lineage: Eukaryota; Viridiplantae; Streptophyta; Magnoliopsida; Brassicales; Brassicaceae
Exons: 3
Source: RefSeq, a predicted model, not a curated record